AUAUCAGUAAGCGGAGGAAAGAGAAACUAACAAGGAUUCCCCUAGUAACUGCGAGUGAAGCGGGAAUAGCUCGUCUUUGAAAUCCGUUCAAAUCGGAAUUGUAAGAUGUGAAUCAUUGUAAUCAUCAUAUUUGUAUUCGAGUCCUUUGGAACAAGGCACCAUAGAGGGUGAUAGUCCCGUAGAAUACACACAUGAUCAUGAUUACAACACGUAUAUUCAACGAGUCGAGCUGUUUGGGAUUGCAGCUCAAAGAAGGGUGGUAAAUCUCAUCCAAGGCUAAAUAUUACCAAGAGACCGAUAGCGCACAAGUA
Molecule: ribosomal RNA, 311 nt
Filed under: uncultured eukaryote
Lineage: Eukaryota
Description: partial large subunit ribosomal RNA
Rfam family: Eukaryotic large subunit ribosomal RNA
Source: RNAcentral